GAAUACCGGAGAAUGUUAUCACGGGAGACACACGGCGGGUGCUAACGUCCGUCGUGAAGAGGGAAACAACCCAGACCGCCAGCUAAGGUCCCAAAGUCAUGGUUAAGUGGGAAACGAUGUGGGAAGGCCCAGACAGCCAGGAUGUUGGCUUAGAAGCAGCCAUCAUUUAAAGAAAGCGUAAUAGCUCACUGGUCGAGUCGGCCUGCGCGGAAGAUGUAACGGGGCUAAACCAUGCACCGAAGCUGCGGCAGCGACACUGUGUGUUGUUGGGUAGGGGAGCGUUCUGUAAGCCUGUGAAGGUGUGUCGUGAGGC
This 313-nucleotide ribosomal RNA is filed under the name Salmonella enterica subsp. enterica serovar Stanley. RNAcentral describes it as "partial 23S ribosomal RNA". It matches the Rfam family "Bacterial large subunit ribosomal RNA", at positions 958 to 1269 of the family's 2925-position model. Lineage: Bacteria; Pseudomonadati; Pseudomonadota; Gammaproteobacteria; Enterobacterales; Enterobacteriaceae. The record is from RNAcentral.